Molecule: ribosomal RNA, 249 nt
Filed under: uncultured bacterium
Lineage: Bacteria
Description: partial 16S ribosomal RNA
Rfam family: Bacterial small subunit ribosomal RNA
Source: RNAcentral
UACGGGGGAGCAAGCGUUGUUCGGAUUACUGGGCGUAAGGCGCGGUAGGCGGUCGUGACAAGUCACUUGUGAAAUCUCCGGGCUUAACUCGGAACGGUCAAGUGAUACUGUCGGACUAGAGUACAGAAGGGGCAACUGGAAUUCUCGGUGUAGCGGUGAAAUGCGUAGAUAUCGAGAGGAACACCUGCGGCGAAGGCGGGUUGCUGGGCUGAUACUGACGCUGAGGCGCGAAGCCAGGGAGCGAACGGG